This 814-nucleotide ribosomal RNA is filed under the name Frigoribacterium sp. RNAcentral's name for it is "bacterial SSU rRNA". It matches the Rfam family "Bacterial small subunit ribosomal RNA", at positions 56 to 883 of the family's 1533-position model. Lineage: Bacteria; Bacillati; Actinomycetota; Actinomycetes; Micrococcales; Microbacteriaceae. The record is from RNAcentral.
UGCAGUCGACGAUGAACUCCAGCUAGCUGGGGGGAUUAGUGGCGAACGGGUGAGUAACACGUGAGUAACCUGCCCUUGACUCUGGGAUAAGCGCUGGAAACGGCGUCUAAUACCGGAUACGAGCUUCAGCCGCAUGGCUAGGAGUUGGAAAGAAUUUUGGUCAAGGAUGGACUCGCGGCCUAUCAGCUAGUUGGUGAGGUAAUGGCUCACCAAGGCGACGACGGGUAGCCGGCCUGAGAGGGUGACCGGCCACACUGGGACUGAGACACGGCCCAGACUCCUACGGGAGGCAGCAGUGGGGAAUAUUGCACAAUGGGCGCAAGCCUGAUGCAGCAACGCCGCGUGAGGGAUGACGGCCUUCGGGUUGUAAACCUCUUUUAGUAGGGAAGAAGCGAAAGUGACGGUACCUGCAGAAAAAGCACCGGCUAACUACGUGCCAGCAGCCGCGGUAAUACGUAGGGUGCAAGCGUUGUCCGGAAUUAUUGGGCGUAAAGAGCUCGUAGGCGGUUUGUCGCGUCUGCUGUGAAAUCUGGGGGCUCAACCCCCAGCCUGCAGUGGGUACGGGCAGACUAGAGUGCGGUAGGGGAGAUUGGAAUUCCUGGUGUAGCGGUGGAAUGCGCAGAUAUCAGGAGGAACACCGAUGGCGAAGGCAGAUCUCUGGGCCGUAACUGACGCUGAGGAGCGAAAGCGUGGGGAGCGAACAGGAUUAGAUACCCUGGUAGUCCACGCCGUAAACGUUGGGAACUAGAUGUGGGGACCAUUCCACGGUCUCCGUGUCGCAGCUAACGCAUUAAGUUCCCCGCCUGGGGAGUAC